Molecule: ribosomal RNA, 253 nt
Filed under: uncultured bacterium
Lineage: Bacteria
Description: partial 16S ribosomal RNA
Rfam family: Bacterial small subunit ribosomal RNA
Source: RNAcentral
GACAGAGGGGGCAAGCGUUGCUCGGAAUUACUGGGCGUAAAGGGCGCGUAGGCGGGAUGGCAAGUCGGUCGUGAAAUCCCUCGGCUCAACUGAGGAGCGUCGAUCGAAACUGCCGUUCUUGAGGGUUGCAGAGGAGACUGGAAUUCCCGGUGUAGCGGUGAAAUGUGUAGAGAUCGGGAGGAACACCGGUGGCGAAGGCAGCCUUCUGGGCCAACACUGACGCUCAUGCACGAAAGCGUGGGGAGCAAACAGG